AACGAACGCUGGCGGCGUGCCUAAUACAUGCAAGUCGAACGAGAAAGUGGCUUCGGCCAUGAGUACAGUGGCAGACGGGUGAGUAAUACAUGGGUAAUCUACCUCCGAGAUUGGGACAACCUUCCGAAAGGAGGGCUAAUACCAAAUGAGACCACAGUGACACAUGUCACAGGGGUUGAAGGUGGCCUCUAUUUAUAAGCUAUCGCUUGGAGAUGAGCNCAUGCACCAUUAGCUAGUUGGUGAGGUAACGGCUCACCAAAGCUCUGAUGGUUAGCUGAUCUGAGAGGUUGAUCAGCCACACUGGAACUGAGACACGGUCCAGACUCCUACGGGAGCAGCAGUAGGGAAUAUUGCGCAAUGGAGGAAACUCUGACGCAGCGACGCCGCGUGGGUGACGAAGGCC
This 403-nucleotide ribosomal RNA is filed under the name uncultured bacterium. RNAcentral describes it as "bacterial SSU rRNA". It matches the Rfam family "Bacterial small subunit ribosomal RNA", at positions 29 to 416 of the family's 1533-position model. The record is from RNAcentral.